This 432-nucleotide ribosomal RNA is filed under the name uncultured bacterium. RNAcentral's name for it is "bacterial SSU rRNA". It matches the Rfam family "Bacterial small subunit ribosomal RNA", at positions 917 to 1350 of the family's 1533-position model. The record is from RNAcentral.
GGGCCCGCACAAGCGGUGGAGUAUGUGGUUUAAUUCGAAGCAACGCGCAGAACCUUACCUUCCCUUGACAUCCCGGGACAAUCUCAGAGAUGAGACUUUCUCUUCGGAGACUCGGUGACAGAUGCUGCAUGGCUGUCGUCAGCUCGUGUUGUGAAAUGUUCGGUUAAGUCCGGCAACGAGCGCAACCCCUGUCCUUAGUUACCAUCAUUAAGUUGGGGACUCUAGGGAGACUGCCGGUGUUAAACCGGAGGAAGGCGGGGAUGACGUCAAGUCCUCAUGGCUCUUACGGGAAGGGCUACACACGUACUACAAUGGUAGAAACAAAGGGUUGCGAAACCGCGAGGUCAAGCUAAUCCCUAAAACACUAUCUCAGUUCGGAUUGGGGUCUGCAACUCGACCCCAUGAAGUCGGAAUCGCUAGUAAUCGCGUAAC